This 887-nucleotide small RNA is filed under the name Neocucurbitaria unguis-hominis. RNAcentral's name for it is "eukaryotic LSU rRNA". It matches the Rfam family "Eukaryotic large subunit ribosomal RNA", at positions 40 to 945 of the family's 3401-position model. The record is from RNAcentral. Lineage: Eukaryota; Fungi; Ascomycota; Dothideomycetes; Pleosporales; Cucurbitariaceae.
AUAUCAAUAAGCGGAGGAAAAGAAACCAACAGGGAUUGCCCUAGUAACGGCGAGUGAAGCGGCAUCAGCUCAAAUUUGAAAUCUGGCUCUUUCAGGGUCCGAGUUGUAAUUUGCAGAGGGCGCUUUGGCGUUGGCAGCGGUCCAAGUUCCUUGGAACAGGACGUCACAGAGGGUGAGAAUCCCGUACGUGGUCGCUGGCCUUCGCCGUGUAAAGCCCCUUCGACGAGUCGAGUUGUUUGGGAAUGCAGCUCUAAAUGGGAGGUAAAUUUCUUCUAAAGCUAAAUACUGGCCAGAGACCGAUAGCGCACAAGUAGAGUGAUCGAAAGAUGAAAAGCACUUUGGAAAGAGAGUCAAAUAGCACGUGAAAUUGUUGAAAGGGAAGCGCUUGCAGCCAGACUUGCCUGUAGUUGCUCAUCCGGGCUUUUGCCCGGUGCACUCUUCUGCGGGCAGGCCAGCAUCAGUCUGGGCGGUUGGAUAAAGGCCUCUGUCAUGUACCUCCUUUCGGGGAGGCCUUAUAGGGGAGGCGUAAUGCAACCAGCCUGGACUGAGGUCCGCGCAUCUGCUAGGAUGCUGGCGUAAUGGCUGUAAGCGGCCCGUCUUGAAACACGGACCAAGGAGUCUAACAUCUAUGCGAGUGUUUGGGUGUCAAGCCCGAGCGCGUAAUGAAAGUGAACGGAGGUGGGAUCCCUUUAGGGUGCACCAUCGACCGAUCCUGAUGUCUUCGGAUGGAUUUGAGUAAGAGCAUGGCUGUUGGGACCCGAAAGAUGGUGAACUAUGCUUGAAUAGGGUGAAGCCAGAGGAAACUCUGGUGGAGGCUCGCAGCGGUUCUGACGUGCAAAUCGAUCGUCAAAUUUGGGCAUAGGGGCGAAAGACUAAUCGAACUAUCU